RNAcentral lists this ribosomal RNA (506 nucleotides) under uncultured bacterium. Its description in RNAcentral is "bacterial SSU rRNA". It matches the Rfam family "Bacterial small subunit ribosomal RNA", at positions 24 to 518 of the family's 1533-position model. The record is from RNAcentral.
UCAGGACGAACGCUGGCGGCGUGCCUAACACAUGCAAGUCGAGCGGGGACAUGCGACGGAUAGGAAGAUUCGGUUGGACUUGAAGAUGCAUGUCUAGCGGCGGACGGGUGAGUAACGCGUGAGCAACCUGUCCCUUACAGGGGGAUAACACAGCGAAAGUUGUACUAAUACCGCAUGAGACCACGGGAGGACAUCCUCCAGGGGUCAAAGGAGCAAUCCGGUAAGGGGUGGGCUCGCGUCCGAUUAGAUAGUUGGUGAGGUAACGGCCCACCAAGUCGACGAUCGGUAGCCGACCUGAGAGGGUGAUCGGCCACAUUGGGACUGAGACACGGCCCAAACUCCUACGGGAGGCAGCAGUGGGGAAUAUUGGGCAAUGGGGGGAAACCCUGACCCAGCAACGCCGCGUGAGGGAAGAAGGUUUUCGGAUCGUAAACCUCUGUCCUUGGUGAAGAGGAAGAGACGGUAGCCAAGGAGGAAGCCCCGGCUAACUACGUGCCAGCCGCCGC